AUUGAGCUUUUCCAGUAAUUUUUAUUAAAAUUUGAAUUUUACAGAGAUUUGAAUAGCCCCAGCACAAGGGUGACCCAUAAGUUCGUAAAGUAUUCCAUUUUGUU
This is a small nuclear RNA of Chiloscyllium plagiosum (whitespotted bambooshark), 104 nucleotides long. Lineage: Eukaryota; Metazoa; Chordata; Chondrichthyes; Orectolobiformes; Hemiscylliidae. The record is from RefSeq and is a predicted model, not a curated record.